This 76-nucleotide transfer RNA is filed under the name Flavobacteriales bacterium. RNAcentral's name for it is "tRNA-Arg". It matches the Rfam family "tRNA". From Rfam's summary of the family: Transfer RNA (tRNA) molecules are approximately 80 nucleotides in length. Their secondary structure includes four short double-helical elements and three loops (D, anti-codon, and T loops). Further hydrogen bonds mediate the characteristic L-shaped molecular structure. tRNAs have two regions of fundamental functional importance: the anti-codon, which is responsible for specific mRNA codon recognition, and the 3' end, to which the tRNAs corresponding amino acid is attached (by aminoacyl-tRNA synthetases). tRNAs cope with the degeneracy of the genetic code in two manners: having more than one tRNA (with a specific anti-codon) for a particular amino acid; and 'wobble' base-pairing, i.e. permitting non-standard base-pairing at the 3rd anti-codon position. The record is from RNAcentral. Lineage: Bacteria; Pseudomonadati; Bacteroidota; Flavobacteriia; Flavobacteriales.
GGCCCCGUAGCUCAGUGGAUAGAGCAGCUGCCUUCUAAGCAGCUGGUCGUAGGUUCGAUUCCUACCGGGGUCACCA